This 22-nucleotide non-coding RNA is filed under the name Arabidopsis thaliana (thale cress). Lineage: Eukaryota; Viridiplantae; Streptophyta; Magnoliopsida; Brassicales; Brassicaceae. The record is from RNAcentral.
UCGAGUGAAGUUCAGUCGUCCC